Molecule: ribosomal RNA, 1016 nt
Filed under: uncultured bacterium
Lineage: Bacteria
Description: bacterial SSU rRNA
Rfam family: Bacterial small subunit ribosomal RNA
Source: RNAcentral
GCUUAACACAUGCAAGUCGAACGAGAAAGCGCCUUCGGGCGCGAGUAAAGUGGCGGACGGGUGAGUAACGCGUAGGAACCUGCCCGGCAGAAGGGGACAACUCGAGGAAACUCGAGCUAAUACCGUAUGACAUCUCCUGUCUUCACGACGGGGGAUCAAAGGGGGCCUAUCCUUGGAAGCUCCCGCUGUCGGAGGGGCCUGCGUUGGAUUAGCUAGUUGGUGGGGUAAUGGCUCACCAAGGCGACGAUCCAUAGCUGGUCUGAGAGGACGAUCAGCCACACUGGAACUGAGACACGGUCCAGACUCCUACGGGAGGCAGCAGUGGGGAAUCUUGGGCAAUGGGCGCAAACCUGACCCAGCCAUGCCGCGUGUGUGAAGAAGGCCCUCGGGUUGUAAAGCACUUUCAGUGGUGAAGAAAAGCCAGCGGUUAAUAGCCGCGGGUCUUGACGUUAACCAAAGAAGAAGCACCGGCUAACUCCGUGCCAGCAGCCGCGGUAAUACGGAGGGUGCGAACGUUAAUCGGAAUAACUGGGCGUAAAGCGCGCGUAGGCGGUUUGGUAAGUGGGAUGUGAAAGCCCCGGGCUCAACCUGGGAAUUGCAUUCCAAACUGCCGGGCUCGAGUAUGGUAGAGGGAGGUAGAAUUUCCUGUGUAGCGGUGGAAUGCGUAGAUAUAGGAAGGAAUACCAAUGGCGAAGGCAGCCUCCUGGACCAAUACUGACGCUGAGGCGCGAAAGCGUGGGGAGCAAACAGGAUUAGAUACCCUGGUAGUCCACGCCGUAAACGAUGAGAACUAGCCGUUGGGGCCCUUGAGGCUUUAGUGGCGCAGCUAACGCGAUAAGUUCUCCGCCUGGGGAGUACGGCCGCAAGGUUAAAACUCAAAUGAAUUGACGGGGGCCCGCACAAGCGGUGGAGCAUGUUGUUUAAUUCGAUGCAACGCGAAGAACCUUACCACCCCUUGACAUCCCCGGAACUUUCCAGAGAUGGAAAGGUACCUUCGGGAACCGGGUGACAGGUGC